Amphiprion ocellaris (clown anemonefish) is the source of this 7319-nucleotide long non-coding RNA. The record is from Ensembl. NCBI's taxonomy places the organism in Eukaryota, Metazoa, Chordata, Actinopteri, Pomacentridae.
AAACGAAAGUCUGGAUGAAAAACGGAUCAACUGACGAAGCUUAGUUUCACUGAGAUUUAAAUGGGUGGAGAUCAGUCAGUCUGAGCUUAAACAGACAUAAAGCAACCAAAUAUGACAUAAAAGAGCCAAAAAUAGACAGAAAAUGACUUCAGAGAGACACAAAUAACCACAAACAAAAUGACUGGAAAAAUAUACAAAUUAACCACAAGAGACAGAAAAUAGUGACAAAGAUGCACUAAAUAACUACAAAAAUGCACUAAAUAGCCACAAAGGCUCAAAAUAAACAAGAAGAGGCACAAAAUAACCACUAAGAGAGACUAAAUGAGUACAAAGACACAUAUAGCCACAAAAUGACUACAAAAAGACCCAAAAUAACCACAGGGACACAAAAUGUGUACACAGAGACACAAAAUGACUACAAAGAGGAACAAAAUGACCACAAAGACACACACUAGGCACAAAGAGACACUAAUAGCCACACAAUUACUACGAAAAGACACAAAAUAGCCACAAAGAUGCACAAAAGAACACACAGAAAAACACAAAAAACCCACGAAGGGGCACAAAACUGCGACAAAGAUGCACCAGAUGAGUACACAGACACACACAGUAGCUACAAAAUGCAAAUUGACUGCAAAAAGACACAAAAUUGCUCCAAAGAGAGACAAUUAACCACAAAGAUGCAAAAUGAAAACCAUAGAAACACUCAAAAUAAUUACAGAGACACAAAACAACAAGAAAACAUUUAACAGAACGACAAUGAUAAGACACAAAAUAGUCACAACAAGACAUAAAAUAUCCGCAGAGACACAAAAUGGCCAGGAAAGAUGCUAAAUGACCACAGAAAGACACAAAAUGACUUCAAAGGGGAACAACAUGACCACAAAGACACACAAACUAGCCACAAAAUGUUUACAAAAAGACGCAAAAUCGCUCCAAAGAGACACAGUCAGCCACAAAAAUGCAACAUGAAAACCACAGAAACACUCAAAAUAAUUACAGCAACACAAAACAAUGACAAAGAAACAUGAAACAACCAAAAAAUUUGACACAAAGCGACAAAAAUGAGACACAAGACACAAAAUAACUACAAAAAGACAAAAUAUGCACAAAGAGAUACUAAAAGACCAGGAAAGAUGCUAAAUGACCACAAAAAGACACACAAUACCCCCAAAGAUGCACAAAAAACACAAAAUAUCCACAAAGAAGCACAAAAUAGCUAAAAAGAUGCAGACCCAGAUGAGUACACAGACACACAAAGUAGCUACAAAAUGCAAAUUGACUGCAAAAAGACACGAUAAAGCAGAAAGACUGACACAAUCAGUCACAAAGAUGCAAAAUGGAAACCACAGAAACACACAAAAUCAUUACAAAGAGACACAAAACAAUAAGAAAGAACAAAAUGACCAAAAAUUGAUUCAGAGCAGCAACGAUAAGACACAAAAUAGUAACUACAAGACACAAAAUAUCCGCAAAGAGACACAAAAUGGCCAGGAAAGAUGCUAAAUGACUACAGAAAGACACAAAGAUACAAAAUGAUUUCAAAGGGGAACAACAUGACCACAAAGACACACAAACUAGCCACACAAUUUCUACAGAAAGACACAAAAUAGCUCCAAAGAGACACAGUCAGCCACAAAGAUGCAACAUGAAAACCACAGAAACACUCAAAAUAAUUACAGCAACACAAAACAAUGACAAAGAAACAUGAAACAACCAAAAAUUGAAUCAGAGGAACAAUAAGACACAAAAUAGCCACAAUGAGACAUAAAAUGUCCACAGACACAAAAUAGCCAGGAAAGAUGCUAAAUGACCACUAAAGACACAAAAUGACUACAAAGAGGUACAAUAUGACCACAAAGACACAAACUAGCCACAAAGAGACACUAAUAGCUGCAAAAUGACCACAGAAACACUAAAUAAUUACACAGACACAAAACAACAACAAAGAAACACGAAACAAUCAAAAAUUGACACAAAGCAACAAAAAUAAGACACAAAACAGCCAUAAUGAGACACAAAACAACAACAUGUAAGCAUGAAAGAACUACAAGGAAACACACAGAGACCACGGGGCCGGUCUAAAGGACUUAAUGUGUUGGCUGUUGGACAGAUGAAGUUGUGGCCUGAUGAACGUUUGUCUCCUGAAUGUUCGGCUGCAGCUUUUCAUCAACAGGUGGAGAUGAGUCAGCGUAGCUCUAACGGCUCCAUUAGCCCUUCAGCUAAAUGACUGAGCUGCGUGUUAAUGGAGCACGAUGACAGUGACGGCUUGAAUUAUUAUCCGCUUAAACAGCAAACAGGGGAGAGAGAAUCUGAGAGAAUCCAUCUCCUUCCACUUCCCACUUUGUCUGCUUUUGUUUGGAAAUGUGACGGCGAAUUUAGCCGAACCCAUCAAGACAAGAAUGAGAGAGCAGCGAGAGGAAAGAGAAGGCGAGACAUCAAUUAAGCCUCCAUGGCUAAACACAGCAGGCAGAGCUGCAGGCCAACUGCAUCCAGCAGCAAUAUCAAAAGAGCUCGCAGAGACAUUUUCAUUUAUCCCACCUGAGAGGGAAGAAAAACACAGUUUGGAGACAAAACAGCAAUACAAAUGCUGUCAAAUCAGACAAAGCAGAGACACAAACGUGGCACACGAUGCCUUAAUCGAAUGUGAGAAAACAGUUGUGUGAUGAGAUGGAGGCUUUUAUUUUGAAAUGACCAUAAAGACACAUAAAUUGACCUUAAAUAAACAAAAAAACUGACACAAAGUAACACAGCAUUACUACAAAGAGAUGUUAAAUGACCACAGAGACUCAAAAUGACCACAAAGGUACUACAAAAGACACAAAAAACAACCACUAAGAGAAACAAAAUGACCACACAGAGACUGAAAAUGACCAGAAAGAGGUAUAAAAUGACCAUAAAGUGACACAAAAUGAUCACAAAAUGAGCACAGAGAGACACAGAAUGACUAUAAAGACACAUAAAACAACUGCAAAAAGAAGAAAAUGGCAGCAGAGCGACACAAAAUGACAAAAAUAUGGCAACAAAAUGAACACAGAGACAUAAAUCAACUAGAAAAAGACACAAAAUUCAUACAAAGACACACAAUAUGACUUAAUAUAAAUGCAAAUUAUCACUAGACCACCACUUGGAGAGGCCAAAUAAACACAAAGACACAAAAAACAACAACAAAAUAACACAAAAUAACCACAAAGAGACACAGAGUGACCACAAAGGGAUGUAAAAUGACCACAAACAGACACAAAAUGACCAGAGACAGAUGCAAAAUGGCUGCAAAGACACAGAAAAUAACUACAGUAUGAGCACAAAAAGACAUAAAAUAAUUAUGGAAGUGCAAAUGAUCAUGAGACAACCACUAAGAGAAGCAAAACAACCACAAAGAAAAACAAAAUGACAACAAAGACACUAAAAAGGACCACACAGAGGCACAGAAUCAGCAUAAAGACAUACAAAAGAACUACAGAAAUGCAAAAUGACCACAAAGAGACAAAAAAAAUCCAGAAAAAGACACGAAAUGACCACAAAGACACACAAAUAACCAAAAGAGACUCUAAAUGAAUGCAAAGAAACACAAAAUGACCAAAAAGACACAACAAAGAAACUACAGUGACAGCAAAUGACAAGAAAUAGGCUCAAAAUCACAACAAAGAGACUAAAAGUGACUAGAAAGAAGCAAAACAACUACAAAGAGACACAAUCAGCAGAACUUUUUUUAUACAGAACCUUUCUUUAAAAUCGGAUAUAAACGGGAUGAUAAAUAUGGAGAGUAAAACUCACCAAGAUACAAUUAAAACAACCAAAUAUAUCAAAGUGACCUCUGGGUUUUAAAUGAAUAAAACUGGUAAAGAAAGAACUGACAGAGUGAAGCAGCAUUAAAAGAUCAUUAACUGGUGAGGAACAGAAUUAAAGAAGGCCAUGUAGGAUUUUUCUUUCUUUUUUUUUUUCAACAGAAAUAAAGUCGUCUCUGGGCCUCCGUACUUUUCUCCUCGGUUGAUUUCUUGGUCUGAUCUGAUCCCAGAGAUGUUUGCAGAACGGAACAGCAGCUGGUAGGGAAAUAAUAUUCUUCUUCACGUUUCCAGCGUGCAGCACAAGUUAGUGUGUCUGAGCCCUUUAAUUCUGCAGUCUGCCUUUCAGCCAUGUGCAUCCUGCUCCUCUUCCUCCUCUUCCUCACCCAGUGUUCCUCCCACACCUUCAUCCCUCCCUGCUUGUCCUCCUCUUCCUCCUUGCCUUAUACUAAGCCUGUUUACAUAGGAUUAGAAACUCCAGCAGCUCCGACGCUGCUGUUUUUACCCUUUAAGGGAGUCGGACUGGAUUUGUGUUUUCUGGUGUGUGUUUUCUUUUCUGUUGUGUGUGUGUGUGUGUGUGUGUGUGUGUGUGUGUGUGUGUGUGUGUGUGUGUGUGUCUGCAGCCGCUGAGCCAAACUCUGCCCUGCAGCUACUGCUUCAACAAACUUUUUGUUUCUAAGCUCUGUACUUAAAGGGAAAAUCCACCCUGAGUCACAGUCAGAAUAACGGACACCAGGAGACCCCGGGGCCAAAAAUACCACACAGACACACAACGUAACUACAGUGGGAUGCAACACAACAAAGAGAAUACAGUGACGGUAAAGAGACACAAAACCACUACAGAGAGACUGUGAUUCAAAGCAACUACAAAGAGACCAACUACUAAGAGACAAAUGGCCAUAAGGAGACACAAAAUGACAAAACACUAAAUGACUACAAAGAGACGCAACAAACCACAAAGACACAGAAAAGCAUUACAAAAAGACUCAAAACAGCUAUAUGGUAGUGUCACGGCAACAAAAAGAGACAAACUGGCUACAAAGAGACAACAAAAUACCAUAAAGAGACAGAAAAUGACCACAAAGAGACACAAAUGACCCAAAAGUCCCACAGAAUUACUAUAGACACAACUACAGUGCAGUGCAAAGCAACAGCAAAGAGACUAAAAAGGCUGAAAAGACACAAAAUGACCACAAAAGCAACUCUGGUCUAAUGCAAAGCUGCUACAAAGACUCUAACUACAAAGAGAUUUUAAAAAUGUUCGUAAGGAGACAUAAAAUGACCACAAAUUACUACAGAGACACUAAGCUACUAUAGUGUGAUGCAAAACAACAACAGAGAAUAAAGUGACCACAAAGUGACCAAAAAUGACCACAAAGUGACUCAAAAUGACUACAGAGACACAAAAUGACCACAAAUAGGCAAAAAAUGAUCACAAAAUGACUAAAAACGAUUACAAAAAGACACAAAACCACAAAGAGACACAAAAUGACCACAAAGAGACACAAAAAGACGACAAAGUGACCAAAAAUGACCACAAAGAGACACAAAAUGAUCACAAAAUGACCACAGAGAGACACAAAAUGACUAUAAAGACACAUAAAACAACUGCAAAAAGACGCAAUACCACCACAAAUAAACACAAAACUACCACAAAUGGACACAGAAUGACCACAAAGAAACACAAUUUUAUCACAGUCACUCUAGUAUGAUGCAACAGAACUACAGAGACACUCAACAACUAUAGUGUGAUACAAAAGAGCUACAUAUAGACAAAAGAAACUACAAAUACAGACACAAACCGAUCACAGAAACAAACUGACAACAAACAGACGCAAAAUGACCACAAAGCAACACAAAAUCACUAGAGUGAGACACAACAGAGAGACUUGUUGCCCCUUUUUAAGGUGGAUUUUCCCUUUAAGGACAGGGUUGCGUUGGAGUUGUGUGUCUCCAGAUGAAACUGUGAAGUCUCCUGUUUUAAAAGCAUUUUCUUUUAUUAAUGAGCCGUUUUGAAAAAGUGUCACAGAAACAAAUUAACUGGUGUAAAUCUGCGCUUUUUCCAAGUUUCGUACGGAUCGCGCGUCUUUCUCUCUGCAGUGUUUCAUUUAUCUGGUGACAUUCUUUUGCAAGUCGCAACACAACAACAAAAAAACGUAAAAAAUGCAAAGCAGACGAUGGAAACGAGGUCUGUGGUGUUUCUCAGUCUGUAUGUUAAUGUUGUACUUUAUCGAUGCAAAGUUUUUAGUUUUGAUAAAGAAUCUGAGUCGGCGCUUUGUGGACACGUGAACUGUUUCAUCUUUUCCCUGCAAAAACAAACCAGAGAAACAAAACUAGAAUGAAAAUAAAUUCAAAAUCAAAUGAAAUUUAAACACAGCUGAAGUCAAAACAGAAAGAAAAGAAGAAAUAUUGGCACCAAAAAAAAUCUAAUUUCCAAACACUAAAGACUAUUUGCAUGUUUUAAAAUGAAUUUUUAAAAGAUAAAAGUUACAUUAUUACCUGCUAGAAUUCAGAAAAAGUAGGCAAAAGAUAAAUAACUUCAGCAUUAUUGAUUAAACAGUUAUUUAACCCUUAGAUGCACAAGUGAUUGGACCCUACACUCUUCCUUAAGUGACCUGUAUAAGAAUCAAUGUGUUUUUAUGUCAUUUUUGUCAUUUUGGUUAAGAAUAAUAAUUUACAUCAUUGUUUGUGUUAUAUUUUUGUCCACACAAAAAUGAUUUCAUGUUUGAAAUAUGUUUAUUUUUCACUUCACUAACAGAUUUUGAACAUUCUGAUGAUUGAAAAGAGCAGCAAUAGAAGGAUGUCAGCAUCCAUUUUGUUGACAUUUUUCCACUCUUUUCCUCCAGCUGUUGCUGCUCUCUGUCUCUCUAAUUUUGUGCAUCACCUCUUGUAGGAUAUUAUCAGUGAUAAGGAACUUGGAGUAGUGAUAUAAAAAUUACGAUUUCUUUCUAAGUGUAAAGGUAACUUAAACAUUUUAAUGUUGUGCUUUGAAAACAUGUUUUUUUAGGAAUAGCUGGAAUGUGAAAUGAUAAAAUCUUUUCGUUACGAAGAUAUUGCAAGAAAAUGACCUCACCGGCUCAUUUUUCAACCCACUUAUACAUCUAAGGGUUAAAAUAACUAACUAAAUAAAUAGCAAAAGCUAAAAUUUCACAUCAUUGCAGCACAAUGAAAUGCAAAUUUAAUUUCAAAACAAGACUGGAAAUAAAAUGCAAGUGAUUUCAAAACGUGAAAUGGCUAAAAAUUAUUUCAGUGGUUUUGAAAUGUUUUAUCUCAAAGCUGUGGAACGCAGUGACUCUUUUUUAAUGAUUUUUUUUUUUAUUUUUGUGCUCUUAUCUGCAGUUUUUUCUCAGUGCAGGUGACGUGCAGGUUGUGUGUUUGUUGUGUGAUCAGAGCUCCUCUAUAUUUUCUUAGUGGUUGAAAGUUGUCGUGUCCAAACUGAAGUGUAGAUUUUUCUUGCUGCCUUCUGUCUGAGCUCCUUUGCGAGUCCGUGCUCUUGUUUUGUAAAGAAAUAAAACUCACUGUUGGACCAAAACG